CCUACGGGAGGCUGCAGUGGGGAAUAUUGGACAAUGGGGGGAAUCCUGAUCCAGCCAUGCCGCGUGUGUGAAGAAGGCCCUCGGGUUGUAAAGCACUUUCAGUGAGGAAGAACGCCUGGUGGUUAAUACCCAUCAGGAAAGACAUCACUCACAGAAGAAGCACCGGCUAACUCCGUGCCAGCAGCCGCGGUAAUACGGAGGGUGCGAGCGUUAAUCGGAAUUACUGGGCGUAAAGCGCGCGUAGGUGGCUUGAUAAGCCGGUUGUGAAAGCCCCGGGCUCAACCUGGGAACGGCAUCCGGAACUGUCAAGCUAGAGUGCAGGAGAGGAAGGUAGAAUUCCCGGUGUAGCGGUGAAAUGCGUAGAGAUCGGGAGGAAUACCAGUGGCGAAGGCGGCCUUCUGGACUGACACUGACACUGAGGUGCGAAAGCGUGGGUAGCAAACAGGAUUAGAUACCCCGGUAGUC
Molecule: ribosomal RNA, 465 nt
Filed under: Vreelandella stevensii
Lineage: Bacteria; Pseudomonadati; Pseudomonadota; Gammaproteobacteria; Oceanospirillales; Halomonadaceae
Description: partial 16S ribosomal RNA
Rfam family: Bacterial small subunit ribosomal RNA
Source: RNAcentral